CGAAAUGUAGCAUAAAUUAAUGUAUUUCAUUUACACUGAAAGGAAAGUUGUGAGAUUCAAUUCAUUUUGA
This 70-nucleotide transfer RNA is filed under the name Petrasma pervernicosa. RNAcentral's name for it is "Solemya pervernicosa tRNA-Val". It matches the Rfam family "tRNA". From Rfam's summary of the family: Transfer RNA (tRNA) molecules are approximately 80 nucleotides in length. Their secondary structure includes four short double-helical elements and three loops (D, anti-codon, and T loops). Further hydrogen bonds mediate the characteristic L-shaped molecular structure. tRNAs have two regions of fundamental functional importance: the anti-codon, which is responsible for specific mRNA codon recognition, and the 3' end, to which the tRNAs corresponding amino acid is attached (by aminoacyl-tRNA synthetases). tRNAs cope with the degeneracy of the genetic code in two manners: having more than one tRNA (with a specific anti-codon) for a particular amino acid; and 'wobble' base-pairing, i.e. permitting non-standard base-pairing at the 3rd anti-codon position. Lineage: Eukaryota; Metazoa; Mollusca; Bivalvia; Solemyida; Solemyidae. The record is from RNAcentral.